Molecule: ribosomal RNA, 253 nt
Filed under: uncultured bacterium
Lineage: Bacteria
Description: partial 16S ribosomal RNA
Rfam family: Bacterial small subunit ribosomal RNA
Source: RNAcentral
GACAGAGGGUGCAAACGUUGCUCGGAAUUACUGGGCGUAAAGCGCGUGUAGGUGGAUUGGUGUGUCAGAUGUGAAAUCCCUGGGCUCAACCCAGGAACUGCACCUGAAACUACCAGUCUUGAGUGGUGGAGAGGGAAGUGGAAUUCCUGGUGUAAAGGUGAAAUUCGUAGAUAUCAGGAGGAACACCAGUGGCGAAGGCGGCUUCCUGGACACCAACUGACGCUGAGACGCGAAAGCGUGGGGAGCAAACAGG